AUUGAACGCUGGCGGCAGGCUUAACACAUGCAAGUCGAGCGGGGAAGGGUAGCUUGCUACCUAACCUAGCGGCGGACGGGUGAGUAAUGCUUAGGAAUCUGCCACUUAGUGGGGGACAACAUUCCGAAAGGAAUGCUAAUACCGCAUACGUCCUACGGGAGAAAGCGGGGGAUCUUCGGACCUUGCGCUAAAUGAUGAGCCUAAGUCGGAUUAGCUAGUUGGUGGGGUAAAGGCCUACCAAGGCGACGAUCUGUAGCGGGUCUGAGAGGAUGAUCCGCCACACUGGGACUGAGACACGGCCCAGACUCCUACGGGAGGCAGCAGUGGGGAGUAUUGGACAAUGGGCGGAAGCCUGAUCCAGCCAUGCCGCGUGUGUGAAGAAGGCCUUAUGGUUGUAAAGCACUUUAAGCGAGGAGGAGGCUACUUAGAUUAAUACUCUAGGAUAGUGGACGUUACUCGCAGAAUAAGCACCGGCUAACUCUGUGCCAGCCGCCGCAGUAA
RNAcentral lists this ribosomal RNA (501 nucleotides) under uncultured bacterium. RNAcentral's name for it is "partial 16S ribosomal RNA". It matches the Rfam family "Bacterial small subunit ribosomal RNA", at positions 30 to 523 of the family's 1533-position model. The record is from RNAcentral.